RNAcentral lists this long non-coding RNA (5559 nucleotides) under Brassica napus (rape). Its description in RNAcentral is "long non-coding RNA (BNAP_LNC008422)". Lineage: Eukaryota; Viridiplantae; Streptophyta; Magnoliopsida; Brassicales; Brassicaceae. The record is from RNAcentral.
CUGGGUUUUCCUCUUUAUCCGCCAAGCUAAGUAAAUAUUUUGGCUUAGUUGAAAAUCCGGAAUCAGUUCCAGUUACUGUGGAUACAGAUUCGAUAAGGGAAUCUGCCGAAGAUGCUACAGAAAAGGAUGAAAGACCUUUGUUACUUGACCCUGGGCUCCCGGUAAACACGAAUUCAGAUGAUGGAGAGAGGUCGCCAACUGAGAAUGAUAUUGAGACCACCUUGGAAUCUCAGAGUAUAUUGGUGUUAGUGUCAAAGAGGAAUGCUUUCAAUGGGAUGAUGUGUGACCAAAGUCAUUUUUCGCACAUAAAGUUUUACAAGCACUUUGAUGUUCGCUUGGAUAGAUUCCUGCGAGAUAUGUUCAUUCAGGUUUUACUCUUGUUCUUUGUCAUUUUCUUUUUUUUUAAAUGCUGUUUUGUUCUUUUGUCAAGGUUAAUCUGUGUUCCUUAUGUUAAUAAGCUUUACAACAUUUAUGGCAAGUUUUUUAAGGCAACUGUUUAUGGUGCAGAGAAGCCAGUGCCGAACGUGCGGUGAAACUCCGGAAGCACAUCUUUACUAUUAUGCUCAUCAAAACAAGCAACUAACAAUCCAAAUCAAGCGAAUUUCUGUGCCAAAAUGUUUGCCUGGUGAGGCAAAAGGAAAAAUCUGGAUGUGGAGUCGUUGUGGAAAGUGUAAGACAAAGAAUGGGACCCGGAAAUCUACCAAACGAGUGCUGAUAUCGACUGCUGCUCGUAGCUUGUCAUUUGGAAAAUUCCUGGAGCUCAGCUUUACUCAGCCAACUUUUCUGAAUAGAUUGUGUAGCUGCGGCCACUCUUUGGACAAGGACUUUCUUCACUUCUUUGGGUAUGUUUUUGCUCUAUUUUGCUCAACCUGGAGCUUCACAUAUUCUAAUCAAGUACUAAAGUAAAGUUUUGAGUUACUCUAUUUAUAUGGGCUUCCGAAAUAUUCGCAUUCACAUAUUCUAGGUUAGUUUAUACCUACUUUUCUUGUUUUAAGGCGUAGUUAGUUCUCUUGAAGGUCCCUUGGUUCUAGUGUUGAGACGUAAAAAACAUGGAUGAUGGUUUGAGAGCCGUUAUUGUCUCUAGUAAUAUAUGAUAAAUCUUACGACAUGUUAACAACCUGCAGGUUAGGCUCCAUGGUUGCUAUGCUCAGUUACUCCCAAGUCACAUCUUACACAGUGUCUCUGCCACCCAUGAUGCUGGAGCCAAGCAUUUUUAUAAAAGUGGGUUGGCUUGAAAAAGAAUUCCAUGGAGUAAGUUUAUUUUCUUCUGCACCUGGUAUAUUCAUAUGCAUUGUGUUAGCAACAAAGAUUAUCUCUUGCUUGGGGCGAGGGCUGGCCUUUAAUUGCACAAUGAUUUUUGCUGAUUGUUUCUGUUUACCUGUUCAGGUAUUCACUAAAGGUAUCUCCUUGUUCGAGGACGCUACUAGUUUUCUGAAGAGACUAAGAUCACAGUUCACAAAUUCAGAUCUCAGCUACCAGUGUGCACUAAAAUUGUUGUCAAACGUCGACGAGUUACUGAAUCACGAGCGCCGCCUAUUUCAGGUUAGCAUUGCAACAAUUGCAUUCAGUAUACAAUAUCUUUGUAGUUCAUGACAGAAGCUUACUAAUACCUUUUCAUCCAUUUCUUGGGCAUUAUUGGCUAAAAAUAGGAAAACAUCAAGAUGUCUUUUGAGAAUGCUAAAACCAUGGAUGAUGUUUCCCACAAACUGCUCCGCUUAAACCGCAUGAGGUGGGAACUUUUGUUCCAAGCUCUCACCUGGAACUACCGAUUGCAGUCACUGGUUUUAUCUAAUCGUUUGCUACCUUCAAGUGGUGAGAAGAAGAUAAAUGAAGGUGUAGAGACCAAUCUUGAGGCUGGAUUGACAAGAUAUGAAAAUAAGGACAAAGUUUCUGAUUCUGGUAGCAAUGAAGGCAUGGACGAACCACUUGUUGAAGACAAGGAAAUUCCAAUUGUGGGUGCAUCUGUUGGGGAGAUGGAAGAAUCUGAAGAUAAUGAAUUGCAAACUCUGUCCAGCCCCGGGCCUGAUACAACCUCUCCCAUCAACGAUCAUUUUUACACUCACUUGGCUGUUAAUAUCCAUUCAGCCAAUGAACAAGAAUUAAUUCCAGAUAGUGGAGAUCCACCGGAUGGGAAGGUUGCUGCCUCUAAUGGGCCACACAUCUUAGGCUGGGAUGAGUGGUUCUGGUUGCCAUUUGAAGAUCUACGAUCAAAGCCUAUUGUCGAUGUGGAGAAGGAAUACUUGUUGAAAUUUGAGUAUGUUAACAGUUUCACCCAAGAUAACCUGCAUGCGGUGAACCAAAUAAUCACUGAGGAAGGUUCUCGUCUGCGGAUCUCAUUGAGGGAUGAAGAUUUUAUCGUGUCAGACUAUGAAGACGAGGUCUCGAGCCUAAUAGCUUGCGCGCUUGCCCAUCUGAGCAAUGCUGAUAACAGAUUGCCUCUUUCAAGGUGCAUUCAUGGAUCACUCGAAGGGUUCCUGGAUAAAGAUCAAGAUUCUAAGCAAACUGUUGACCGUGAGGUUUCUCGUUUCGCGAGUGAGAGUACGAGUCGGUUGGAAAUACCACCUCCAGAGGUCCUUGUUACUUUUGGGUCACUCAAAUCAGUGGGAAAACCCAAAUACUCUAUUGUGUGCCUAUAUGCAGAUGAUUUCCGUGACCUCAGAAAGCGUUGUUGCUCCUCAGAGCUUGACUAUAUUGCUUCGCUUAGCCGUUGUAAGCCAUGGGACGCUAAGGGAGGGAAGAGCAAAUCAGUGUUCGCUAAGACUUUGGAUGAUAGGUUCAUUGUAAAAGAGAUCAAGAAGACAGAGUACGAAUCAUUUGUGACGUUUGCUCCGGAAUAUUUCAAGUACAUGAAGGACUCGUAUGAUCUAGGCAACCAGACUUGUCUAGCCAAAGUUCUUGGGAUCUAUCAGGUAAUAAUGUCUUUAGAAUCAUCUCUUGACCAUUCUACCAUUAGCAUUUUGCCUAAAUCGGUAAAGAAACGGAUAGGACUUUAUUUUGAAGGAGCUUCGAUUGCUAUUUUUACAGGUAACUGUAAGGCAGCCAAAGAGCGGUAAAGAGAUAAGGCACGACCUGAUGGUAAUGGAGAAUCUCAGUUUUGGCAGAAAAAUUACUCGCCAAUACGAUCUCAAAGGCGCUCUACACGCUCGGUUUACGGCUACUUCUGCUAAUGGCGCGGAAGAUGUUCUGUUGGAUCAGAACUUCGUCAACGACAUGAACAAAUCCCCUCUUUACGUUAGCAAGACAUACCAUAUGGUUUGAUGAUUUUGUUUUGCUAGGCGAGUGUUCUGUUGAUGGAAACUCUUAUGAAAGGUAAGGCUGGUACAUACAUGUUGCUAGGAUUUUGAUUAAUCAAAGAUUAUUGAUAUAUACUUUGUUCUGUCUAUGUCAGGGGUAAUGAAGAUGAGUGUUCGAGCCAUGGUAGUCAAGAAGAUGUGGACUCCCCCCUAAAGGAUAAGAAGGUCGAUCGCCAAUAUACCUUAGAGCGCAAGUCCAAGAGCAUGCCCAGUGACAUCCAGAGAGACAUUUAUAUUUUGGGUGAAAAAUCUAAAGACAACGGUGUUGAAAGUGUUCAAUUCCUAUCUGAUCGUGAAGAUGAUGGUGCUGAAAUGGAUGCCCCCCCUAUUUGGGAACCCCCGGAGCCACUAGACCCAGAAGAUGAACUAGAAGAUGCUGCUGCUGAUGAAUGUUGUGAUGGCUCUAAACGGGCCAGAUCAUCUUCUUUAGGGGAAUCUAAAGAUGGAAGUAGUAACCAGAGAAAGUUCAAUGAAGAAAAUCGAAGAGCAAUGCUUGCGGUGGCAAACUCAAAGUUUAACUUCAUUGUGAGUCAGCUUAUUCAGUCGGCUGGGUUUUCAUUGGAAGAAGGUGAAAGUUGGAGUGCGAUAGUUGCUAGGUUAUGCUGGGAGGCUGCUUCACUAUUAAAGCCAGAUAUUGAUGGCAAACCAGUUGAUCCGGCUGAGUACAUCAAAGUGAAAUGCAUAGCAACUGGUUCUUGCAAUGAAAGGUAUUACAACUUACCCAUUGAUUGCCUAUACGUUGCAUAUGAUUUUUAUUCCAUUUCCCUCUACCGUACUCUCCUAAUGAUUUGUUCAUCUCUGCAGUGAAGUUUUUAAAGGCCUUGUUUUCAAAAAACAUGCUGCUCUUAAACAAAUGCCUACCAAGUAUGAGCAUCCUAGAAUAAUGUUAGUCGAAGGAGUACUGGGCCAGCCAUUAAGUGGUUUUUCUUCUCUCCAGUCAAUGGAUAAGGUGGGGAGCACAGUAACUUGGCGAUCACCAAUUCACCAUUUUGAAAGCUUUCAUUUGGUAAUAUCUGAUUUCUUUUUGUUUGGUUUUUGCCAACAGGACAAAGAUGUUUAUGUGAAGCCUGUUGUUGAUAUCAUAACCGCGUUGAAGCCUGACAUCAUGCUGGUGGAAAAAUCUGUUUCGCGUGAUAUCCAAUUGUCUAUUAAUGAACAAAAGGUCACUCUGGUGCUUGACAUGAAGCUCCACCGUUUACAGCGAAUUUCUCGAUGCAUAGGUUCACCAAUCAUUCCAUUGGAAUCUCUGUCUAGUCAGACGUUAAAGCACUGUGAUUCCUUUCGCAUUGAGAAAAUUGUGGAGGAGCAUAAUGCUGUGGGCGAAGCUGAGAAGAAGCCAACUAAAACGCUGAUGUUCUUAGAAGGUUGUCCUACCCGCCUUGGCUGCACGGUGAGUGCUUGAUUGAUAUUGGAUUAUGAUAAGUCGUUGAUGGUAUCAUUACUUGAGUAACACAUCAAUACAUCAUAUAACUGCCUAGUUUCCACUGGAUAAAACAUCAAAUCUUUCAAAAUUUGAAAUUGUGACAUUCACCUUGGACUUUCUUGCAGUGUACCCCUGAUUAUCUGAUUUUGACAUUGUGGUAUGUGACAGAUUUUACUUAAAGGAAGCCACAGUGAAAGGUUGAAAAAGGUCAAAGAAGUAGUACAAGAUUCAUUUAACCUUGCAUAUCAUCUAAUCUUGGAGGCUUCCUUCCUUGCUGAUCGGCAAACAAUGUUCUCAACCAUCUUUCCAAAGGAAGCUACAUCAUGUGUUAUGGAAACAGAAAAAGUUCCACUAUCUCCUUCUCCUGGAAAAUCUUCACUUGAAGCAAUUGAUAUUCCCUUUUCUAAUGGAUUCGAUGAACGAUCUAUUCAGAUAAAUGGGGAAUCAGAUGGUGAGAAAGCUGAAAACUGGGAUUCUGGUGGAGAUCAUGUCUUCUCUCACGAGCCAUAUAAUCCAGUUAUUUUUACUGGGUUUUCCUCUUUAUCCGCCAAGCUAAGUAAAUAUUUUGGCUUAGUUGAAAAUCCGGAAUCAGUUCCAGUUACUGUGGAUACAGAUUCGAUAAGGGAAUCUGCCGAAGAUGCUACAGAAAAGGAUGAAAGACCUUUGUUACUUGACCCUGGGCUCCCGGUAAACACGAAUUCAGAUGAUGGAGAGAGGUCGCCAACUGAGAAUGAUAUUGAGACCACCUUGGAAUCUCAGAGUAUAUUGGUGUUAGUGUCAAAGAGGAAUGCUUUCAAUGGGAUGAUGUGUGACCAAAGUCAUUUUUCGCACAUAAAGUUUUAC